UACGUAGGGUCCGAGCGUUGUCCGGAAUUACUGGGCGUAAAGGGCUCGUAGGCGGCCAACUAAGUCAUACGUGAAAUCCCUCGGCUUAACCGGGGAACUGCGUCUGAUACUGGAUGGCUUGAGUUCGGGAGAGGGAUGCGGAAUUCCAGGUGUAGCGGUGAAAUGCGUAGAUAUCUGGAGGAACACCGGUGGCGAAGGCGGCAUCCUGGACCGAUACUGACGCUGAGGAGCGAAAGCGUGGGGAGCAAACAGG
Molecule: ribosomal RNA, 253 nt
Filed under: uncultured bacterium
Lineage: Bacteria
Description: partial 16S ribosomal RNA
Rfam family: Bacterial small subunit ribosomal RNA
Source: RNAcentral